Molecule: transfer RNA, 73 nt
Rfam family: tRNA
About the family: Transfer RNA (tRNA) molecules are approximately 80 nucleotides in length. Their secondary structure includes four short double-helical elements and three loops (D, anti-codon, and T loops).
Source: Rfam
GGCCAGAUAGCUCAGUUGGUAGAGCAGAGGACUGAAAAUCCUUGUGUCGCUGGUUCGAUUCCAGUUCUGGCCA